UUCGCAUUCCAAAAGUAACCUUCCAACUAACUUGUUAAAUGACAAAUAUGACCCAUGAAAACUAAUUUCAUUUCUCAUGGAGAUGAACAUGAAUUCGCCCAUUUAUUGUGACUCAUUCUUUAAACAAACCAAAAAAAAAAAAAAAGUAACACGAAAUCGAGCCCAACCUAUUUACCCGAAUUUACGGCUCUACCUUCCUCGUGCAUCUACUUGUAUAUUGUCGUGCCUCGUGCAUCUGGGUGCACCGUCCCUUAAACUUUUUAAUCCUCCCACCUCUCCUGUUUUACCACGCCAAAAAAGACGGUGUAGAAGCAAAGCCGUUAAAAGGAUGUAUCAUCCUACCAGAGGCGGCGUUCGCGGUGGCCGAGAUCAAUUCAAGUGGGAUGAUGUGAAGGUUGAUAAACACAGAGAAAAUUACCUUGGUCACAGUCUUAAGGCUCCUGUUGGGAGAUGGCAAAAAGGCAAAGAUUUGUUUUGGUACACCAAGGACAAGAAUUCUCAGGGCGUUGAACAGGAUGCCUUAAAGGCAGAGAUUCAGAGGAUCAAAGAAGAAGAGGAGCAGUCAAUGAGAGAAGCUCUAGGCUUAGCUCCAAAACGUUCUGACCAACCAAAAGGAAAUCGUCUUGAUAAGCAUGAAUUUUCCGAACUUGUCAAGCGUGGAUCAACUGCUGAAGAUUUGGAAGGUGGUCAUGCUGAAGCAGCAAAGGUUCAAGGACUUGGUUUUGCCAGAGCUCCUCGUAUCAUGGAGGCAUCAACUACUGUUUUGCCUGGUGCCAAGGAUGUUGUUGCUGAGGCAGAUAAGGCUCCUCCUGAGGCUUCUGAGAAAUUGGAUAAACAGGAGUCAGAUGAGGAAGUUAGACGGAAGAAGGGAAAGCAUGAUGAGCGGAAACGUGAGAAGCACGAAGAAAGAAAGCACAGGAAGCGUGAAAAGCAUGAAAAACAUCAUUCUCAUGACUCAGAUGACAAGAGGAAACGUCGCAAGGAGAAGAAGAGAAGGAAUGAUUCAGAUUCAGAAUGAUUUCAUUACUUCCUUUGUAAAACAAACUCCCCUCACAUAGUAAUUUUCACGGACCAAUUUAACUUCUUUGAUUUAUACUACCCUUGUGUAUGGUAUGGUGUUGGCUACCUCGUAAAUGCUAGUUAUACUCUAUAGAGCAAAACAGUUGAGAUUAUGGUGGCGGAAAUGGAGAUGGAGAUGCUUAACUAUAUGUAUAUCUACGCAAAUAAAGAUGCUUAAUUAUAUGUGUAUCUACGCCAAAAGAGAUGUAUGAUGUGAGUCAUGUUAUAGGAGAGAAGGUUCAUGGAAAUUUUAUCAAUACAAAUUUCUGAAAA
RNA transcript from Chenopodium quinoa (quinoa), 1332 nucleotides. It is a transcript of the gene named multiple myeloma tumor-associated protein 2 homolog, with no coding region annotated. The transcript has 5 exons. NCBI's taxonomy places the organism in Eukaryota, Viridiplantae, Streptophyta, Magnoliopsida, Caryophyllales, Amaranthaceae. The record is from RefSeq and is a predicted model, not a curated record.